Molecule: ribosomal RNA, 404 nt
Filed under: uncultured Treponema sp.
Lineage: Bacteria; Pseudomonadati; Spirochaetota; Spirochaetia; Treponematales; Treponemataceae
Description: bacterial SSU rRNA
Rfam family: Bacterial small subunit ribosomal RNA
Source: RNAcentral
CCUACGGGAGGCAGCAGUGGGGAAUCUUCCGCAAUGGGCGCAAGCCUGACGGAGCAACGCCGCGUGAGUGAAGAAGGUCUUCGGAUCGUAAAGCUCUGUUGACGGGGACGAACGUGCGUGAUGCGAACAGUGUCAUGCAAUGACGGUACCUGUCGAGGAAGCCACGGCUAACUACGUGCCAGCAGCCGCGGUAAUACGUAGGUGGCGAGCGUUGUCCGGAAUCAUUGGGCGUAAAGGGAGCGCAGGCGGGCAAGUAAGUCUUUCUUAAAAGUGCGGGGCUCAACCCCGUGAUGGGAAAGAAACUACAUGUCUUGAGUACAGGAGAGGAAAGCGGAAUUCCCAGUGUAGCGGUGAAAUGCGUAGAUAUUGGGAGGAACACCAGUGGCGAAGGCGGCUUUCUGGAC